RNAcentral lists this ribosomal RNA (504 nucleotides) under uncultured bacterium. RNAcentral describes it as "bacterial SSU rRNA". It matches the Rfam family "Bacterial small subunit ribosomal RNA", at positions 23 to 518 of the family's 1533-position model. The record is from RNAcentral.
CUCAGGAUGAACGCUAGCUACAGGCUUAACACAUGCAAGUCGAGGGGCAGCAUUGGAGUAGCAAUACUCAGAUGGCGACCGGCGCACGGGUGGGUAACACGUAUCCAACCUGCCGCUUACUCGGGGAUAGCCUUUCGAAAGAAAGAUUAAUACCCGAUGGUAUAAAGAGUUCGCAUGUUCUCUUUAUUAAAGAAUUUCGGUAAGCGAUGGGGAUGCGUUCCAUUAGAUAGUUGGCGGGGUAACGGCCCACCAAGUCUACGAUGGAUAGGGGUUCUGAGAGGAAGGUCCCCCACAUUGGAACUGAGACACGGUCCAAACUCCUACGGGAGGCAGCAGUGAGGAAUAUUGGUCAAUGGACGAGAGUCUGAACCAGCCAAAAGUAGCGUGAAGGAUGACUGCCCUAUGGGUUGUAAACUUCUUUUAUAAGGGAAUAAAGUGAGGGACGUGUCCCUUUUUGUAUGUACCUUAUGAAUAAGGAUCGGCUAACUCCGUGCCAGCCGCCGC